This 633-nucleotide ribosomal RNA is filed under the name uncultured Bacilli bacterium. Its description in RNAcentral is "bacterial SSU rRNA". It matches the Rfam family "Bacterial small subunit ribosomal RNA", at positions 82 to 701 of the family's 1533-position model. Lineage: Bacteria; Bacillati; Bacillota; Bacilli. The record is from RNAcentral.
CGGAAAAAGAGGAGUGGCGAACGGGUGAGUAACACGUGGGUAACCUGCCCAUCAGAAGGGGAUAACACUUGGAAACAGGUGCUAAUACCGUAUAACAAUCGAAACCGCAUGGUUUUGAUUUGAAAGGCGCUUUCGGGUGUCACUGAUGGAUGGACCCGCGGUGCAUUAGCUAGUUGGUGAGGUAACGGCUCACCAAGGCCACGAUGCAUAGCCGACCUGAGAGGGUGAUCGGCCACAUUGGGACUGAGACACGGGCCAAACUCCUACGGGAGGCAGCAGUAGGGAAUCUUCGGCAAUGGACGAAAGUCUGACCGAGCAACGCCGCGUGAGUGAAGAAGGUUUUCGGAUCGUAAAACUCUGUUGUUAGAGAAGAACAAGGAUGAGAGUAACUGUUCAUCCCUUGACGGUAUCUAACCAGGAAGCCACGGCUAACUACGUGCCAGCAGCCGCGGUAAUACGUAGGUGGCAAGCGUUGUCCGGAUUUAUUGGGCGUAAAGCGAGCGCAGGCGGUUUCUUAAGUCUGAUGUGAAAGCCCCCGGCUCAACCGGGGAGGGUCAUUGGAAACUGGGAGACUUGAGUGCAGAAGAGGAGAGUGGAAUUCCAUGUGUAGCGGUGAAAUGCGUAGAUAUAUGG